RNAcentral lists this ribosomal RNA (253 nucleotides) under uncultured bacterium. Its description in RNAcentral is "partial 16S ribosomal RNA". It matches the Rfam family "Bacterial small subunit ribosomal RNA", at positions 524 to 776 of the family's 1533-position model. The record is from RNAcentral.
UACGUAGGGGGCAAGCGUUGUCCGGAUUUACUGGGCGUAAAGCGCCUGUAGGCGGGGCGGGAAGUCGGACGUGAAAGGCUGGGGCUCAACCCCAGUAUGCCGUUCGAAACUCUCGCUCUUGAGGGUCGGAGAGGAGCGUGGAAUUCCCGGUGUAGCGGUGAAAUGCGUAGAGAUCGGGAGGAACACCCGUGGCGAAGGCGGCUUCCUGGACCGACACUGACGCUGAGGCGCGAAAGCUAGGGGAGCAAACGGG